RNAcentral lists this small nuclear RNA (101 nucleotides) under Cavia porcellus (domestic guinea pig). Lineage: Eukaryota; Metazoa; Chordata; Mammalia; Rodentia; Caviidae. The record is from RNAcentral.
GUGCUUUCACUGGCAGCACAUAAAUUAAGUUGGAUUCUGCUGAGAUUAGCCUGGCCCUUGCACAAAGAUGAUGUCAAAUUCAUGAAGCAGUCCAUAUUUCU